RNAcentral lists this ribosomal RNA (429 nucleotides) under Amaurobius sp. A01. RNAcentral's name for it is "partial 16S ribosomal RNA". Lineage: Eukaryota; Metazoa; Arthropoda; Arachnida; Araneae; Amaurobiidae. The record is from RNAcentral.
UCUGCUCAAUGAAUAUUCAAUAGCCGCAAUUAUAUUGUGCUAAGGUAGCAUAAUCAUUUGUCUUUUAAUUAAAGACUAGAAUAAACGAUUUUACAUUUAAUUUAUUUUUUAAAAUCUAAAUUUUAAAUUUUUUUUAAAUAUAAAAAAAUAUUUAUAUCAAAAAAAGACAAAAAGACCCUAUUAAACUUUACUUUAGUUUAACUGGGGAAGUUAAUUAAUUAUAAUUUUAAUUUAAAUAAUUUAAAUAUUCCAAUAAUAUUGAUUCAAAUAAGUUACUAUAGGGAUAACAGCGUAAUAUUUUUUAAAGCUCUUAUUAAAAAAACAAAUUACGACCUCGAUGUUGAAUUAUUUUUUCUAAAAAAUGCAAAAAUUUUUUAAGAAAGUCUGUUCGACUUUUAAUUAAUUACAUGAUCUGAGUUCAAACCGGAG